GAUGAACGCUAGCUACAGGCUUAACACAUGCAAGUCGAGGGGCAGCAUGGUCUUAGCUUGCUAAGGCCGAUGGCGACCGGCGCACGGGUGAGUAACACGUAUCCAACCUGCCGUCUACUCUUGGACAGCCUUCUGAAAGGAAGAUUAAUACAAGAUGGCAUCAUGAGUCCACAUGUUCACAUGAUUAAAGGUAUUCCGGUAGACGAUGGGGAUGCGUUCCAUUAGAUAGUAGGCGGGGUAACGGCCCACCUAGUCUUCGAUGGAUAGGGGUUCUGAGAGGAAGGUCCCCCACAUUGGAACUGAGACACGGUCCAAACUCCUACGGGAGGCAGCAGUGAGGAAUAUUGGUCAAUGGGCGAGAGCCUGAACCAGCCAAGUAGCGUGAAGGAUGACUGCCCUAUGGGUUGUAAACUUCUUUUAUAAAGGAAUAAAGUCGGGUAUGGAUACCCGUUUGCAUGUACUUUAUGAAUAAGGAUCGGCUAACUCCGUGCCAGCAGCCGCGGUAAUACGGAGGAUCCGAGCGUUAUCCGGAUUUAUUGGGUUUAAAGGGAGCGUAGAUGGAUGUUUAAGUCAGUUGUGAAAGUUUGCGGCUCAACCGUAAAAUUGCAGUUGAUACUGGAUAUCUUGAGUGCAGUUGAGGCAGGCGGAAUUCGUGGUGUAGCGGUGAAAUGCUUAGAUAUCGCGAAGAACUCCGAUUGCGAAGGCAGCCUGCUAAGCUGCAACUGACAUUGAGGCUCGAAAGUGUGGGUAUCAAACAGGAUUAGAUACCCUGGUAGUCCACACGGUAAACGAUGAAUACUCGCUGUUUGCGAUAUACAGCAAGCGGCCAAGCGAAAGCGUUAAGUAUUCCACCUGGGGAGUACGCCGGCAACGGUGAAACUCAAAGGAAUUGACGGGGGCCCGCACAAGCGGAGGAACAUGUGGUUUAAUUCGAUGAUACGCGAGGAACCUUACCCGGGCUUAAAUUGCAGAUGAAUUACGGUGAAAGCCGUAAGCCGCAAGGCAUCUGUGAAGGUGCUGCAUGGUUGUCGUCAGCUCGUGCCGUGAGGUGUCGGCUUAAGUGCCAUAACGAGCGCAACCCUUGUUGUCAGUUACUAACAGGUUCCGCUGAGGACUCUGACAAGACUGCCAUCGUAAGAUGUGAGGAAGGUGGGGAUGACGUCAAAUCAGCACGGCCCUUACGUCCGGGGCUACACACGUGUUACAAUGGGGGGUACAGAGGGCCGCUACCACGCGAGUGGAUGCCAAUCCCAAAAACCUCUCUCAGUUCGGACUGGAGUCUGCAACCCGACUCCACGAAGCUGGAUUCGCUAGUAAUCGCGCAUCAGCCACGGCGCGGUGAAUACGUUCCCGGGCCU
RNAcentral lists this ribosomal RNA (1358 nucleotides) under uncultured bacterium. RNAcentral's name for it is "bacterial SSU rRNA". It matches the Rfam family "Bacterial small subunit ribosomal RNA", at positions 28 to 1381 of the family's 1533-position model. The record is from RNAcentral.